Molecule: transfer RNA, 64 nt
Filed under: Rattus norvegicus (Norway rat)
Lineage: Eukaryota; Metazoa; Chordata; Mammalia; Rodentia; Muridae
Rfam family: tRNA
About the family: Transfer RNA (tRNA) molecules are approximately 80 nucleotides in length.
Source: Rfam by way of RNAcentral
GGGGAUUUGGCUCAGUGGUAGAGCGCCUGCCUAGGAAAGGUCCUGGGUUCAAUCCCCAGCCCCG